RNAcentral lists this ribosomal RNA (120 nucleotides) under Carassius auratus (goldfish). The record is from RNAcentral. Lineage: Eukaryota; Metazoa; Chordata; Actinopteri; Cypriniformes; Cyprinidae.
GCUUACGGCCAUACCAACCCUGGCUAUGCCCGAUCUCGUCUGAUCUCGGAAGCUAAGCAGGUUUGGGCCUGGUUAGUACUUGGAUGGGAGACCGCCUGGGAAUACCAGGUGCUGUAAGCU